CGUCUAUAUACGUAUAGCAUAUCAAUAAGCGGAGGAAAAGAAACUAACUAGGAUUCCCUCAGUAACGGCGAGUGAAGCGGGAAGAGCUCAAAUUUGAAAUCUUCAAGGUUCUACCUUGACGAAUUGUAGUUUAAAGAAGUGUUUUCUGUUGGAAUUUUGGUAAAGUUCUUUGGAAAUAGGACAUCAAUAGAGGGUGAGAAUCCCGUAUUUGACCAUUAUUUCCAGCUUUGUGAUACGCUUUCGAAGAGUCGGAUUGUUUGGGAAUGCAGUCCAAAAUGGGUGGUAAAUUUCAUCUAAAGCUAAAUACUGGCGAGAGACCGAUAGCGAACAAGUACCGUGAGGGAAAGAUGAAAAGAACUUUGAAAAGAGAGUUAAACAGUACGUGAAAUUGUCAAAAGGGAAGCGUUUGACACCAGUGUUGUUUUCUCGAAAAUCAAUUAAAAAUGCUGGAUUUUGUGUUGUAUUGACUUUAUCAGCUUUCUGCACUUUUUCCUGUCUUUUUUAAUGCACUUUUCGUUUAACAAGUCAACAUCAAUUUCUUUUGUUGUAAAAGGGUCAUUGGAAGGUGGCUUUCUUUUCGGAGAAAGUGUUUAUAGCCUUUGACUUCUGCAAUCGGAGAGAUUGAGGUCUGCAGCGUAGAUCCUUCUGGAUUAGAUACAUUUGUGCUAAGCUAUAGCCUUUCACAGACAACUUGUUGACUAUGAUCAGUCAUGUAGCUUACUCGCUUAUGCUAUUUUACCUACGCUUAGGAUGUUGACGAUCAGCUGAGCGCG
This 773-nucleotide ribosomal RNA is filed under the name uncultured Neocallimastigales. Its description in RNAcentral is "partial large subunit ribosomal RNA". It matches the Rfam family "Eukaryotic large subunit ribosomal RNA", at positions 26 to 627 of the family's 3401-position model. Lineage: Eukaryota; Fungi; Neocallimastigomycota; Neocallimastigomycetes; Neocallimastigales. The record is from RNAcentral.